UCGAAUUAUAAGCGAGGGUUGUCGCUGGCCUCUUUCGGGGCAUGUGCACGCCUGAGCUCUUAAAUCCACAACACACCUGUGAACCCACCGUAGGCCUUCGGGCUUAUGUAUCAUAUACUCUGAAUGUGUCAUAGAAUGUUCAUGUUGCCUUAAAACGCAAUCAAAUA
Molecule: unclassified non-coding RNA, 167 nt
Filed under: uncultured Amphinema
Lineage: Eukaryota; Fungi; Basidiomycota; Agaricomycetes; Atheliales; Atheliaceae
Description: sequence contains ITS1
Source: RNAcentral